Long non-coding RNA from Neodiprion virginianus, 599 nucleotides. RefSeq lists it as uncharacterized. The record is from RefSeq and is a predicted model, not a curated record. NCBI's taxonomy places the organism in Eukaryota, Metazoa, Arthropoda, Insecta, Hymenoptera, Diprionidae. The transcript is spliced from 4 exons.
CUCUUCGUUCCCCCCUCACUAAACAGUUAUCUCGAACGUUUUCAGUGUAUCGUGUUGUGAUUUUAAGCGCCCUUCCAAACUUUUUAGAUGUCGGAGCAGUGCGUGAGGAUAAUUCGUCUUUACCCGGAUGAAGAAGGUGGUGUUACAAGUGAGUGAAACCAGUGAAAUCCGUAUAUUAUUUUUUACGGAAAUCCACGUCAAGAGGACUUAUUGAUUUUUCCACGCGGACUUCCAACGCAUGGAUUGGACCACAUUUGUAACGGCUCGACUACAUCAAACGAGACUGAAGGAAGUUAUUGCUGUAAUCACCCGGACAACGAGAAGGACACAUCGGACGCCGGCUUGACGGCCCGGCAGGCAGCUCUUGUCCCAUAAACAAACGGCCCGAAGGAGGUCGCCACUGUUCCCGUAGGACUGCCGGGUGAUCGGGAUGAAUAUUUCACGGUACAUUCGCGGGAUUUGCCGAGGCUGUUUUCUUCCUGUUUCCUGAGACGAGGUAAGCCUCGUUCACCGCGUCGAUCGCGCUUCGCUUUAAUGACAUCCGGCUUCCAUGCGAGGGGUGAAAAACGGGAAUACGGGGUUCGUUCCGCCGUCACGCU